AUCGAACGCUGGCGGCAGGCCUAACACAUGCAAGUCGAGCGGCAGCGGGAAAGUAGCUUGCUACCUUUGCCGGCGAGCGGCGGACGGGUGAGUAAUGCCUGGGAAAUUGCCCAGUCGAGGGGGAUAACAGUUGGAAACGACUGCUAAUACCGCAUACGCCCUACGGGGGAAAGCAGGGGACCUUCGGGCCUUGCGCGAUUGGAUAUGCCCAGGUGGGAUUAGCUAGUUGGUGAGGUAAUGGCUCACCAAGGCGACGAUCCCUAGCUGGUCUGAGAGACUGAUCCGCCAGACUGGAACUGAGACACGGUCCAGACUCCUACGGGAGGCAGCAGUGGGGAAUAUUGCACAAUGGGGGAAACCCUGAUGCAGCCAUGCCGCGUGUGUGAAGAAGGCCUUCGGGUUGUAAAGCACUUUCAGCGAGGAGGAAAGGUUGAUGCCUAAUACGUAUCAACUGUGACGUUACUCGCAGAAGAAGCACCGGCUAACUCCGUGCCAGCCGCCGCCGUAA
This 508-nucleotide ribosomal RNA is filed under the name uncultured bacterium. Its description in RNAcentral is "partial 16S ribosomal RNA". It matches the Rfam family "Bacterial small subunit ribosomal RNA", at positions 30 to 523 of the family's 1533-position model. The record is from RNAcentral.